GAUGAACGCUGGCGGCGUGCCUAAUACAUGCAAGUCGAGCGAACAGACGAGGAGCUUGCUCCUCUGACGUUAGCGGCGGACGGGUGAGUAACACGUGGAUAACCUACCUAUAAGACUGGGAUAACUUCGGGAAACCUGAGCUAAUACCGGAUAAUAUAUUGAACCGCAUGGUUCAAUAGUGAAAGACGGUUUUGCUGUCACUUAUAGAUGGAUCCGCGCCGCAUUAGCUAGUUGGUAAGGUAACGGCUUACCAAGGCGACGAUGCGUAGCCGACCUGAGAGGGUGAUCGGCCACACUGGAACUGAGACACGGUCCAGACUCCUACGGGAGGCAGCAGUAGGGAAUCUUCCGCAAUGGGCGAAAGCCUGACGCAGCAACGCCGCGUGAGUGAAGAAGGUCUUCGGAUCGUAAAGCUCUGUUAGUAGGGAAGAACAAAUGUGUAAGUAAAUAUGCAUGUCUUGACGGUACCUACUCAGAAAGCCACGGCUAACUACGUG
RNAcentral lists this ribosomal RNA (497 nucleotides) under uncultured bacterium. RNAcentral describes it as "partial 16S ribosomal RNA". It matches the Rfam family "Bacterial small subunit ribosomal RNA", at positions 28 to 507 of the family's 1533-position model. The record is from RNAcentral.